This 482-nucleotide ribosomal RNA is filed under the name uncultured bacterium. RNAcentral describes it as "partial 16S ribosomal RNA". It matches the Rfam family "Bacterial small subunit ribosomal RNA", at positions 30 to 507 of the family's 1533-position model. The record is from RNAcentral.
AUUGAACGCUGGCGGCAUGCCUUACACAUGCAAGUCGAACGGUAACAGGUCUUCGGAUGCUGACGAGUGGCGAACGGGUGAGUAAUACAUCGGAACGUGCCCGAUCGUGGGGGAUAACGAGGCGAAAGCUUUGCUAAUACCGCAUACGAUCUACGGAUGAAAGCGGGGGAUCUUCGGACCUCGCGCGGACGGAGCGGCCGAUGGCAGAUUAGGUAGUUGGUGGGAUAAAAGCUUACCAAGCCGACGAUCUGUAGCUGGUCUGAGAGGAUGAUCAGCCACACUGGGACUGAGACACGGCCCAGACUCCUACGGGAGGCAGCAGUGGGGAAUUUUGGACAAUGGGCGAAAGCCUGAUCCAGCCAUGCCGCGUGCAGGAUGAAGGCCUUCGGGUUGUAAACUGCUUUUGUACGGAACGAAAAGCCUCUUUCUAAUAAAGAGGGGUCACGACGGUACCGUAAGAAUAAGCACCGGCUAACUACGUG